AGAGAGAGCACUCGCGCUCACCGACUUGUGGGGAACUCACACCUGACAAAGGACCUUUCUUAUGGGGAAAGUUCAGAAUUGUGGGGAACUCUCUCGUUCCCCACAAAUAUGGUCAUGGGGUUUUUUGAAUUCUACGUGUUCUACUGAUAAUAUUUAUUCGAUUUGUGGUCAUUUUUGAAAAAAUCCCCAUAAGUCCGUAAAAUUGACUCGCAGUAAUUUUCUCACUGCACCGUAAAACGAAUGUUUGAGGAUGCUGGGAAAUGUUCAUUCGGAACGCAGCGGAAUUUAAACUGGUCCCCAUAUGAUACCAAUUUAUUGCGGGCAAUGGCUGCUCCGAGAAUAUGUGGUUUUCGGGUUUUCACCACAAGAGCAAAUUAUACAACUUUAUUCUUGAAAAUGUUAGAGACUGAGACUUGGAGUCAAAGUCAACAGACACGCUUGCAUGGACAUGAAGGAUGUAAAGAACUAGAGUAUUAUAACUGAAAGCAUUUUGUCUGGAUUUGUGUAUGGAAACAGAAGGAUUUAGUAUUGGUAUCCUGAAUUUUUGUCAACUUCUAGCCAAGAUCCUGUACUUAAGCUGAAUGUGGAGGACAGAUGUACACACAGUACUAGUAUAGAGGUUUAGUGGCAUGGAGUCCAGGAUGAGCUGUUAAAGUGGAAAAAGGGCCAGAAACGGCCUGUAGUCGUCAAGCAGAUUGGAUUUCUUAACUUGAAUAAAUAGUAAAACGCUCCGAAUACUGAAUUUGUUGCGAGAUUUUUUAGGCCAAGCCCAGAUCUAUUAGUUUAAGUGUGUCCCCCCAAAACAUAUUGCCAUCAU
This is a long non-coding RNA of Saccostrea cuccullata (small rock oyster), 817 nucleotides long. RefSeq lists it as uncharacterized. The record is from RefSeq and is a predicted model, not a curated record. The transcript is spliced from 4 exons. Lineage: Eukaryota; Metazoa; Mollusca; Bivalvia; Ostreida; Ostreidae.